AAGUCGUAACAAGGUUACCUUCUGCAGCACAGCUCCGGAGACCUUGCAUCCCUACGGGGAGGGAGCACGACCAUAAAUAAAGCUCCCGCAUGCAAGUUGGCUACGGCCAGCAACACAAUCGAAUUGCGGGGACCUCCUAAAGCCUGUAACACCAACCGCCCGAGGAAACUCGGGCGGGGCCCUCACGGGGUGGUAAAAGAGUACAGGAUAUACAAUGGACGAUCCGCAGCGAAGACCCUACCGGCGAAAGCCCACGGGUCCCGUUCACAGACUAAGUGAUUGUGGGUAGAGUGCUCGGCACCCUUCUAAGAUAUAGUCGGUCUCUGUCCUAAUAGACGGACCUAGUGCGUCCGUAGGUGAACCUGCGGAAGGAUCAUUAUUGAAAAAAGGACAAGACGCCCCCGUUUUUUUCCGUAAAAAUGGGUUCAAUACCCACAACCGUGUAUACCUUACCUUUGUUGCUUUGGCAGGCCGCCUCCGGGCGUUGGCUUCGGCUGACAGCGCCUGCCAGAGGACCCAAACUCUGUGUUUAGUGUUGUCUGAGUAAUAUAUAAUAUUUUUAAAAAG
RNAcentral lists this unclassified non-coding RNA (567 nucleotides) under plant metagenome. RNAcentral's name for it is "partial contains small subunit ribosomal RNA and internal transcribed spacer 1". The stretch from base 40 to 340 matches the Rfam family "Group I catalytic intron". Rfam says of the family: Group I catalytic introns are large self-splicing ribozymes. They catalyse their own excision from mRNA, tRNA and rRNA precursors in a wide range of organisms. The core secondary structure consists of 9 paired regions (P1-P9). The record is from RNAcentral.